UACAGAGGGGGGCCAGCGUUAUUCGGAAUUAUUGGGCGUAAAGGGUGCGUAGGCGGCCUUGUAAGUCAGUGGUGAAAUACUCCAGCUUAACUGGAGGGGUGCCAAUGAUACUGCAGGGCUUGAGUACAGAUGAGGUAGGCGGAAUUGACGGUGUAGCGGUGAAAAUGCAUAGAUAUCGUCAAGAACACCGAUAGCGAAAGGCAGCUUACUGGGCUGUAACUGACGCUGAGGCACGAAAAGUGUGGGGGAUCAAAACAGG
This 259-nucleotide ribosomal RNA is filed under the name uncultured bacterium. Its description in RNAcentral is "partial 16S ribosomal RNA". It matches the Rfam family "Bacterial small subunit ribosomal RNA", at positions 524 to 776 of the family's 1533-position model. The record is from RNAcentral.